Molecule: ribosomal RNA, 856 nt
Filed under: uncultured Methylomirabilota bacterium
Lineage: Bacteria; Methylomirabilota (SeqCode)
Description: bacterial SSU rRNA
Rfam family: Bacterial small subunit ribosomal RNA
Source: RNAcentral
GACCAAAGGGGGCGAGCGUAAGCAGCUCUCACCGAAGGAGGAGCCUGCGUCCGAUUAGCUAGUUGGUGGGGUAAUGGCCUACCAAGGCGACGAUCGGUAGCCGGCCUGAGAGGGCGAUCGGCCACACUGGAACUGAGACACGGUCCAGACUCCUACGGGAGGCAGCAGUGGGGAAUAUUGCGCAAUGGGCGAAAGCCUGACGCAGCGACGCCGCGUGGGUGAUGAAGGCCUUCGGGUCGUAAAGCCCUGUCUGGUGGAACGAAACGCCUGGCGGCCAAUACCCGCUGGGUUUGACGGUACCACCGAAGGAAGCCCCGGCUAACUACGUGCCAGCAGCCGCGGUAAGACGUAGGGGGCGAGCGUUGUUCGGAUUUACUGGGCGUAAAGCGCGUGUAGGCGGCCAGAUAAGUCGGGUGUGAAAGCCCUCGGCUCAACCGAGGUUCCGCAUCCGAUACUGCUUGGCUGGAGUCUAGGAGAGGAGAGCGGAAUUCCCAGUGUAGCGGUGAAAUGCGUAGAUAUUGGGAGGAACACCCGUGGCGAAGGCGGCUCUCUGGACUAGUACUGACGCUGAGGCGCGAAAGCUAGGGGAGCGAACGGGAUUAGAUACCCCGGUAGUCCUAGCCGUAAACGAUGGGCACUAGGUGUGGGAGGUAUUGACCCCUUCCGCGCCGAAGCUAACGCAUUAAGUGCCCCGCCUGGGGAGUACGGCCGCAAGGCUAAAACUCAAAGGAAUUGACGGGGGCCCGCACAAGCGGUGGAGCAUGUGGUUCAAUUCGACGCAACGCGAAGAACCUUACCAGGGCUUGACAUCCCACGAACCUGCCUGAAAGGGCGGGGUGCCCGCAAGGGAGCGCGG